AAGGCAUGGUGAGAGCACUUUCUAAGUAUCUCCUUGAAUCUCUCUCAACUCUCAUAAAUAGAUUCUUUUUCUAACAGAGUAAAUGAAGAAAUAUCAAUUCUAAGCUU
This is a small nucleolar RNA of Dendrobium catenatum, 107 nucleotides long. The record is from RefSeq and is a predicted model, not a curated record. NCBI's taxonomy places the organism in Eukaryota, Viridiplantae, Streptophyta, Magnoliopsida, Asparagales, Orchidaceae.